GAUGAACGCUGGCGGCGUGCCUAAUACAUGCAAGUCGAACGCUGACACAAGGAGCUUGCUCUUUUCGGGUUAGCGGCGGACGGGUGAGUAACGCGUAGAUAACCUGCCUGUUAGAGGGGGAUAACUACGGGAAACGAUAGCUAAUACCGCAUAAUAGUAGCUGCUGCAUGAUACAUACGUAAAAGGUGCCAUUGCAGCACUACCAAGUGGACCUCCGUUGUCUUAGCUAGUUGGUGAGGUAACGGCCCACCCAGGCGACGUUCAGUAGCCGCCCUGAGAGGGUGUUCGGCAACACUGGAACUGAGACACGGUCCAGACUCCUACGGGAGGAAGAGGUGGGGAAUAUUGGACAAUGGGCGAAGGCUUGACGCAGCAAGACGGGGUGGGUGAGGAAGGUCUUCGGUUCGAAAACUCCUUUUUUUGGGAAAGACGAGAGGGAGAGUAAAAAGUGCACGUUUUGACGGUACCUUAACAGAAAGCGACGGCUAACUACGUG
RNAcentral lists this ribosomal RNA (496 nucleotides) under uncultured bacterium. Its description in RNAcentral is "partial 16S ribosomal RNA". It matches the Rfam family "Bacterial small subunit ribosomal RNA", at positions 28 to 507 of the family's 1533-position model. The record is from RNAcentral.